This is a long non-coding RNA of Zingiber officinale, 223 nucleotides long. RefSeq lists it as uncharacterized. The record is from RefSeq and is a predicted model, not a curated record. The transcript has 3 exons. Lineage: Eukaryota; Viridiplantae; Streptophyta; Magnoliopsida; Zingiberales; Zingiberaceae.
CCGAAAAGGCAAAAGCAAAUAGGAAUACAGAGCCAGGUGACCCGAGCACCGGAACCGCUCGGCAUACGUCAGGAUCCAGAUCUAUUGUUGAGCAUACCAUUGAUCUGGAACGUGAGCUUGCCCGACAGCCUACAUGUAUGGAGAUUUUUCUGAAGACCCACAAGAAGAAGGAUGGGUCAUUUGUUGAUUCUCGAUCUCAAACUCUACAUCAAGAAAUGACAGA